This 368-nucleotide ribosomal RNA is filed under the name uncultured Psychrilyobacter sp. RNAcentral describes it as "bacterial SSU rRNA". It matches the Rfam family "Bacterial small subunit ribosomal RNA", at positions 45 to 412 of the family's 1533-position model. The record is from RNAcentral. Lineage: Bacteria; Fusobacteriati; Fusobacteriota; Fusobacteriia; Fusobacteriales; Fusobacteriaceae.
AGCUUAACACAUGCAAGUCGACUGGAAUUCUUCUUCGGAAGAUAGUACGGUGGCGGACGGGUGAGUAACGCGUAAAGAAUUUGCCCUUCAGACCGGGACAACUAAUCGAAAGGUUAGCUAAUACCGGAUAUUAUGAGACCUUGGCAUCAAGGACUUAUGAAAGCUACAUGCGCUGGAGGAGAACUUUGCGUUCCAUUAGCUAGUUGGUAGGGUAAUGGCCUACCAAGGCGACGAUGGAUAGCCGGCCUGAGAGGGUGAACGGCCACAAGGGGACUGAGACACGGCCCUUACUCCUACGGGAGGCAGCAGUGGGGAAUAUUGGACAAUGGACCAAAAGUCUGAUCCAGCAAUUCUGUGUGCACGAUGAA